Molecule: non-coding RNA, 6110 nt
Organism: Meleagris gallopavo (turkey)
Lineage: Eukaryota; Metazoa; Chordata; Aves; Galliformes; Phasianidae
Source: RefSeq, a predicted model, not a curated record
UGGGUUGUUACCACCAGUAGUUUGACAGGGUUAUUUGUCUGAGCAGAACAAAUAUUUCCAGGUUGCAGGAGUGAAAAACUCAUGACAGAUCCAGGUUAUUGUGCAGGGUGAUGCCAGGCAUGGCUGUUUGCAUUCUCAUCUUCUGAUGAAAUAGAGGACAAGCCUUUGCCAAUUUAACUUCAUCAUAAUCCCAUUCAAUUGCUCUGAGUACAUCUGGGUUGAAGAUCGUAGCCAUCAGUGGGGUGAUCUGUUGCCAAGAGCUAUUGUCUCUUUGUAUCUGGUUCCAAAGGCCAGAAAGGCUAGACAAUCCUAAAACCAUCUCUGCAGCAUGAUGGCUCCAAAGUUAAUUUCAAAGAUUAUAAUCACACUAGGCAAAUACUCAAAAACUGGAGAUGCCCGUAACCUCAAUAUGCUGCUCCGUCAUUGCCUCAAAACAGGUCUUAUAAUGGCAGGAAUUUGGUACAGCAUGCACAGAUGAGCCAUCCUGCCUUGAGUAUAUGGAAAAAAGAAAAGAACAAAUUAUCUCUUAAAAAAAGAACAAAAAGUCCAAGUUUGAAUUGAUUGGUUGAGUGACUAUCAUCGCACUAAUGAACAGUGUGCUGGUACCAAUCGAUCUUUGGCAGAAAGUCACCAGUUCAUGUCAACGGUUGCUAACACUGAAGGCCAUUUUAGAAAGGUGGUGCUGGAAGCACCCAAUCAGAAGCUACUGCUUUUUGUUGCAAGUGAAAAGUGAAACAAGAAAGGUGAUAUGCAUCCUUACUUCUGUUCUGCAAGAGAGCAGAGAACAAGGAAGGUCGUAUGUCAUAUCAGGGUUUUAAUAAACACAAUAAAUAGAAAUAAAUGUUUUUAGUGUUGGUAAAUAAAUUGCACAAAUUAAAACAGACAAACAAACAAACACCACAUAAUGACUUAUUUAUCCUUGGACCCGAGAUCACGAAUCAUUCUAUGAAAAUGCAGUAAACGUUAGAAAGGUGAAAAGCAACAGUGAUGUUGCUUUGUAAGUGUAUACCAAUAGCAAUCACUGAUUAACUAUUUAUUAAAACAACAUGUAGAAUUUGUCCUGAAAAUACAUUGGGCUCCUCCCAUCACAAAGCUGCUACCUAAUGCCUUUCUAAGUCUCAGAUUGUUUUAUCUUUUUGUCACUUUGUUUAAAAUACAGGUAUAUUCUUUGUGUUCUGAAAUGGGAGAGUCUCCUACUACUAGUUUUUCCAUACACUUAUGAACUGCAUAUACACUGACUCCAAGUAUCUUUGAUAGGACAAGAGAUAUUUAACAGUCUGUAUGGGAAUUGCUAAGUCAUGGCCUGAACCAAUGAAUGAGCACCUGGUGAGGGAACACAGCCACCCCAGGGAGCACAGGUGGAAGCAAUUCACCUGUGAGACCAAAAGGGAACUAGCUUCCACCCCUCCCUAAGCCUCAUUUAGGGGCUGGCUGCCCUAAGAGAAGGUUCUUUACCUGAAGGUCUGUCUUUUUGGAGUGCUUGAUGAACCCUGAUCUUUGGGACAGGACAACUUGUGUUGACUCCUUUUCAUGCGCUGAGGUGCCUGGAUCUAACUGAGAGAAGAGCUGCUCAAACAGGCUUCAGUCACACUCCUUUUAUCUUCAACCCCAGGCUGACCUCCAAGUGUGUGCUCCUGUAUUAAGUAGCCAAGGAAGGGUUGCAAGGAAGGCAGAGAAGAACCUGGCUCACUCGCAUCCUUAGGUAUUCUGGGUAAAUUACCUGCACAGCCAGCCUCUGAAUUGCUCUUUUGAAUGCAAUUGCUGUUAUUAUUGAAAGCACUACUCUCAAAAGCAAUAUUUCAUCAUUACUGCAAAAUAUCAUCCCUACAAUUAUCAGACAGAGUGUCUGUAGGAAUCUUACGGGGAAACGUGGUGACACCUGAAGGUGUGGUUUGGUGAAUGUGGUGAAGCCCCAAACCCGGAGCUAUGUCUCGUUAGUGCCUGGCUGUGGCAUGCCACCCUUUUACCCCAGCAUGAGAGGAAUGAGAAUUUGGCCUUUAGACUGUCAUGUGCACUGGAACAGGAUUAGCUGUGAUGAAUCUAUCGUCUUAAAAGUAGACUGCUUUUGGAGGAGUGGCAUUGCCUUAUUUCCAGCAAAGCUAUAAACAGCGAGGAGGAAUUCCCCCUGCCUUAGAGCUGACUCUUACUCUGCCUUCCCCCCAGUCCUUUCUGACUGGCUCCAGCCUCACUGAGCAGGUAGGCUUCUGUCUCAGGUGAUCCCUGUGCAAUCCUGGCAAGAAAAGGUCUGCAGCUCUGGAGGCAUCAUAGGAGAAAAAAAUGGGAAAGAUGAUCUUCAGUUGUGUAUCACAUUGCAUGUCACGUUUAUUUUGAAGAUCUCUUUGUCAUAUGAAGUAGUUAAAACAAUGAUGUUCUAGGGGUAAAAAGUGUUUGUUUUUCCUUAGGGGUAUUAAAUCUUAGUGACAGAAAAUUAUCUUCUUUUUGUAGAUAGUGAGAUAAAAAGAACAAUUCAUUUGGUUUUAGUCCUCUGUCCCCUUUGCCUUUUGGAAAAAGUAAAGACAGGAAAGACAGAAACAGUGGAAAGCAGUAUCUCAGAAAGAUAUCAGAAAAUGAGAAAAUAUCCAUCAGAAUGGAAACGUCUUACUUAAGGAGGAAGAAAAAAAAACAUUUAAGAUUGGAAAAUCACCUUGACAAGUUUCAACCUUCUAUAGCUGCCUGAGGAAGGAGUUUGCAGGAAAUCCUUUGCUCACUGUUAGGUACAUGCACAGAGAUGUUAAGUCAGCUGUGUGCUGCUAUCCUUAUCUAUUUACUACUCUGCUGAAAAAGGGCUCUGUCUGCCUAGGCUCAGGUCUGACCUUCCUUAAAGAAAAGGCUUUCAGAUGUAGAGAUUUUGUUUCCAGAUUUCUUCUCAUUUAAUUUUGCUGAAUGACUUUACCAAUCUCGAAGUACAUAAGAUGAGUUGACCAAAUGAGAAAUGCAGGUAGUGACAGCUGUUCUGGUGUCCUCUAUUAUAUAGAUGCAGGCACAGACAAAGCAGGGGAAGGAAGGUUAUCAGCAUUAUCAAGACAUCACCGACGAGUACAGCAAUCAUAGCAGAGCCUGAGUGACAUUUUCAGCAGCUCCUGUACUUAAAUGAGCACAGAUGUAGAUACAGUAAAAGCACAUAAGCAAAGGUAGCUCCAGCCCAGAUCUCAGCGGUGUGGCAGACAGGAUGACUGACUGCACAGUCAUCUGCAGGAAGGAGGCUGACUUGCUAAUUGUAUGCAAACGAGUAGAAAUUAAAACCAUUUGAAGGCGCUGUGAGCAGGAUGAAAUGUAAAGCUUCCUGUGACAUUUAUUCAGAGGAGGAUAUUGUUUUCCGUGGCUGCUUGGCUCAUGUACGUUUUGAAUGAACUGCACUUCACCGUGUCACCCACUGAGUUAACAAUUUGUGACAAUUACAGUAAUUAUUCUGCUACAGUAGCAAUGCCAUUGCCCAAAUAUGUUCCAGGAUUGGCUUUACUUGAAUGAACACGAAUACCACGGGCCUGAAAAAAACAUUUGUGGAUAUUGAAUCAUUUAAUUUUCUGAUUCUGUUAAUUCACAGUGUUGAAACACCGAUAACCCUGUUCGUUAAAGGAGCAGUGGAGAAGUGUGAGACAACUGAUACAGUGCUAAUGAAACAAAAGCUUUGCAGUCUCUGAGAAAAUGCAGUUGCAAAAUACGUGGACAUGUCAUCUCUGCAAGCUGUAAAGAACCAAAUGCAGAGGUGACUAAUGUGAAGGCUGGAUUGAGCAGACAGCCAGGGGGAGGUUGUGUGUCCUUGAAGCAGCAGAGUGACUCUGCGGUCCCACCUUCCAUUGGGCAAAGUUCCACUCCUAGGUUUGCAUCCUGCUGCAGAAGAGCCUGGAUGGAUGCUACCCACUAGAUUGCACACACCUCCACAUCCAGUUCUUGCAUUCCUUACAUCUGCAAAAGACCACAUAAACUCCAGACAAAGCAAUGGGAAAGAGCUCUUAGUAACCUACCUAUUAAAUGCACCACCUUUCAUUCUGAAGUGCUCUUCCAGCCUUAACACAGCACUUCUCCAUCUCAGUCUGUAUGGCUCCUCUGUUGAUGGAUAUUUGUUCCUGAAGGUGUGAUCCUUAGAGCCAAGCCUUAAUAUGAAAGCCUUUUCUUCCAUCUUAUCUUUGCAUUUUAAGAGGAAGUUGUGGCAUGAAAAGGAGGGAACAAUACUGAAUGCUCCACUUAAAAGAUGAAAACUCAGCACGGGCGCUAGAGGACACGACUUCUUUGUAGAUUUCAAACUAUGCUGCAUGUGAAACAGGGAUAUUAUUCUGGAUGGGUCCUCUUGAUUUCUUGCCAAGGUCAGCUCUGGAGCAUUCUGAUGAGGAAGUGGUUGCUUGAGUUGCUUCGUCAAUUAUUUACUUCAGGUUUGAUGACUUCUCACUGUUAUUUUUCCUUUAUGUUCUGGAGUCAGUCACUGUUUGUCACUCCAUUUCAGCUGUGGAGGUCGCCCAUUUAAUUCUGUGAAAGGCAGCAUAUGUCCAGACUUCUGUCAAGGCUGCACUAUGUUUUCUACCUAAUCACAGUUAAUGUUACUUUGCAGUUUUAAAGUAAUUAUUUUUCGCUGUCAGUGGUGAGUGCUUUCUAAUCCUUAUGAACCAGGUCCUUUCUGGUCCUGAGUUACAAAUAAAACCAAUUUUGUCAAGAACAGGUUCUGCAAGGAGUCCGUUCUUCACAGGAUCCUAAUUUUCGGCUGUUCUGUUCCUCUCCUCUGCAAAAUACAACCAAUUACGUUGUGGAUCCCACUCCAGUCUUAUGCAAGAAUAUAGGUUCUAUCUGGCAUAGACUGCUUUCACGAUAGUGACUUUUCUGAAGAUAGUGGUGUCAUCAUUUGAUUUUCUUCCUUAAACAUCCGAACCUUCUUUCAGUGGGGAGCACUGUCAUGUGGAUCCCUGCAUCCCUGCUGGCAAAGUGGUAUUUGGGGAAGACCCACAAAUACCAGAGAGGCCCCACAGCAGCUGGGUGUCCUGGAUGUGGAACAGGCUGUGGAAGAGUUAAAGCAACAGUGAUAAAGCAUGGUAAUGUCUGCAGUGCCUUACCACCCGUGAGUUCUCCCUGUCCUUGUUCCCUAGGCUGCCUGAUACGGAUGAAAGUGCCUUGUGCUCCCUCCUGGAGUCUUUCUGGGGACUGAACAGCACGAUGUUAUUGUCCUGCUAAUAGCAGACAGUUUUUACAGACCUGGAGAAAAGGGGCUGGGAGAGGCACUGGGAAUAUGUAGACUGCCUUAUCUGUGCCCCUGGGCAGUAUUGGCCAUCCCUCAGGACAAGCAGCAAGAUGCAAAGAGUGCUGGAGACAGAGCUCCAGGCAGAUCCUGUCACACUCACCCCGACAGCUGUCCUUCCUGUAUUUUGCUCUAAAUCCUCCACACACAAGAUUCAUCAUUUCUUGACCUGUGCCCUGGUGACAAGCAGAGCAGAUUUGUGCUUCCUCUCCUCAUGGAGAGGCACUGGGGGUCUGUCCUGAGGGCUCCCUCAAGAGCAGCCUUAGCUAGGCUACUGCUGCCUCUGCCUAUUCACCCUGACAGCAAAGCAACAGCAUCUUGCCUUAGCUUGCAGUUUUCCUCUGUGACGGCCAAGACAAGCUCGUUUUUCCUUAGCAAACACAUUCUCUUGUCUUUGUCAAGGAGGGGCUCGCUCCAGCAGAGUAUUUACAAUGCCAGAACUGAGGCAGUGCAGGCUGGGCACCGUGGGCUCCUGUGAGAGGCCCAUGCAGUGAAGCCCAUCCUUCCCAACCUGCAGCCAUGAUCUGUCACCGCUGUUGGUGAAAAUCACGGCCUGCUCGCUCUCAAACUCUCAUUCUCAUACUCCAGAAUAGCUCCCCAGACCAAGAGCUGGUAAGGAUGAUGAUGGCAAUUAAUAUUCUUAGUGAAAUUUUAGCUGUUGUGGUUUCUUUUCCUUUAGGAGAGGGCAAAUUAUUAAAGCCAAAAUUGUUGAUGGGAGCUGAUUUGACAAAUUUCUCAGUUCGGAACCACUUCCUUCAGGAGGAAGCACUGGAAUUGUUAAAACAAGGUUGUCUGUAUUUUAUAAAACAACGAGAUGUUUUAAUUCAAGGGUCAAGAUAAGUUGAAAAGAAGUAGGACAAAGAGUCAAUUUUAGCUUAAAGAAUAU